Molecule: ribosomal RNA, 556 nt
Filed under: uncultured bacterium
Lineage: Bacteria
Description: partial 16S ribosomal RNA
Rfam family: Bacterial small subunit ribosomal RNA
Source: RNAcentral
UGGGGAAUUUUGGACAAUGGGCGCAAGCCUGAUCCAGCCAUGCCGCGUGCGGGAAGAAGGCCUUCGGGUUGUAAACCGCUUUUGUCAGGGAAGAAAUCUUCUGAGUUAAUACCUCGGGAGGAUGACGGUACCUGAAGAAUAAGCACCGGCUAACUACGUGCCAGCAGCCGCGGUAAUACGUAGGGUGCAAGCGUUAAUCAGAAUUACUGGGCGUAAAGCGUGCGCAGGCGGUUUUGUAAGACAGAGGUGAAAUCCCCGGGCUCAACCUGGGAACUGCCUUUGUGACUGCAAGGCUUGAGUGCGGCAGAGGGGGGAUGGAAUUCCGCGUGUAGCAGUGAAAUGCGUAGAUAUGCGGAGGAACACCGAUGGCGAAGGCAAUCCCCUGGGCCUGCACUGACGCUCAUGCACGAAAGCGUAGGGAGCAAAACAGGAUUAGAUACCCCUGGUAGUCCACGCCCUAAACGAUGUCAACUGGUUGUUGGGAAGGUUCCUUCUCAGUAACGUAGCUAACGCGUGAAGUUGACCGCCUGGGGAGUACGGCCGCAAGGUUGAAACU